AUACGUAGGGUGCGAGCGUUGUCCGGAAUUACUGGGCGUAAAGAGCUCGUAGGUGGUUUGUCGCGUCGUCUGUGAAAUUCCGGGGCUUAACUCCGGGCGUGGAGGCGAUACGGGCAUAACUUGAGUACUGUAGGGGAGACUGGAAUUCUUGGUGUAGCGGUGAAAUGCGCGGAUAUCAGGAGGAACACCGGUGGCGAAGGGGGGUCUCUGGGCAGUAACUGACGCUGAGGAGCGAAAGCAUGGGUAGCGAACAGGAUUAGAUACCCUGGUAGUCCAUGCCGUAAACGGUGGGCGCUAGGUGUAGGGGUCUUCCACGACUUCUGUGCCGUAGCUAACGCAUUAAGCGCCCCGCCUGGGGAGUACGGCCGCAAGGCUAAAACUCAAAUGAAUUGACGGGG
This 398-nucleotide ribosomal RNA is filed under the name uncultured bacterium. Its description in RNAcentral is "partial 16S ribosomal RNA". It matches the Rfam family "Bacterial small subunit ribosomal RNA", at positions 523 to 918 of the family's 1533-position model. The record is from RNAcentral.